UGGGGAAUUUUGGACAAUGGGCGAAAGCCUGAUCCAGCAAUGCCGCGUGUGUGAAGAAGGCCUUCGGGUUGUAAAGCACUUUUGUCCGGAAAGAAAUCCUUGGCUCUAAUACAGUCGGGGGAUGACGGUACCGGAAGAAUAAGCACCGGCUAACUACGUGCCAGCAGCCGCGGUAAUACGUAGGGUGCAAGCGUUAAUCGGAAUUACUGGGCGUAAAGCGUGCGCAGGCGGUUUGCUAAGACCGAUGUGAAAUCCCCGGGCUCAACCUGGGAACUGCAUUGGUGACUGGCAGGCUAGAGUAUGGCAGAGGGGGGUAGAAUUCCACGUGUAGCAGUGAAAUGCGUAGAGAUGUGGAGGAAUACCGAUGGCGAAGGCAGCCCCCUGGGCCAAUACUGACGCUCAUGCACGAAAGCGUGGGGAGCAAACAGGAUUAGAUACCCUGGUAGUCCACGCCCUAAAACGAUGUCAACUAGUUGUUGGGGAUUCAUUUCCUUAGUAACGUAGCUAACGCGUGAAGUUGACCGCCUGGGGGAGUACGGUCGCAAGAUUAAAACUCAAAUGAAUUGACGGGGUCAUAGCU
RNAcentral lists this ribosomal RNA (580 nucleotides) under uncultured bacterium. RNAcentral's name for it is "partial 16S ribosomal RNA". It matches the Rfam family "Bacterial small subunit ribosomal RNA", at positions 355 to 926 of the family's 1533-position model. The record is from RNAcentral.